GAGUUUGAUCCUGGUUCAGGAUGAACGCUAGCGAUAGGCUUAACACAUGCAAGUCGAGGGGCAUCACGAGGUAGCAAUACUUUGGUGGCGACCGGCGUACGGGUGCGUAACACGUAUGCAACCUUCCUGUAAGUGUGGGAUAGCCUCCUGAAAGGGAGAUUAAUACCUCAUGAUAUGUAUUUGCUGCAUGGCAUUUACAUUAAACAUUUAUGGCUUACAGAUGGGCAUGCGUUCCAUUAGGCAGUUGGUGUGGUAACGGCUCACCAAACCUACGAUGGAUAGGGGUUCUGAGAGGAAGGUCCCCCACACUGGAACUGAGACACGGUCCAGACUCCUACGGGAGGCAGCAGUGAGGAAUAUUGGUCAAUGGGCGCGAGCCUGAACCAGCCACGUCGCGUGAAGGAUGACGGCCUUAUGGGUUGUAAACUUCUUUUACAGGGGAAUAAAGUGAGUCACGUGUGAUUUUUUGCAUGUACCCUGUGAAUAAGCAUCGGCUAACUCCGUGCCAGCAGCCGCGGUAAUACGGAGGAUGCGAGCGUUAUCCGGAUUUAUUGGGUUUAAAGGGUGCGUA
RNAcentral lists this ribosomal RNA (571 nucleotides) under uncultured bacterium. RNAcentral's name for it is "bacterial SSU rRNA". It matches the Rfam family "Bacterial small subunit ribosomal RNA", at positions 9 to 573 of the family's 1533-position model. The record is from RNAcentral.